UGGGGAAUUUUGGACAAUGGGGGCAACCCUGAUCCAGCCAUGCCGCGUGAGUGAAGAAGGCCUUCGGGUUGUAAAGCUCUUUCAGCCGGGAAGAAAACGCAUGGGUUAAUACCCUGUGUGGAUGACGGUACCGGAAUAAGAAGCACCGGCUAACUACGUGCCAGCAGCCGCGGUAAUACGUAGGGUGCGAGCGUUAAUCGGAAUUACUGGGCGUAAAGCGUGCGCAGGCGGUUUUGUAAGACAGGCGUGAAAUCCCCGGGCUCAACCUGGGAACUGCGUUUGUGACUGCAAGGCUAGAGUAUGGCAGAGGGGGGUGGAAUUCCACGUGUAGCAGUGAAAUGCGUAGAGAUGUGGAGGAACACCGAUGGCGAAGGCAGCCCCCUGGGCCAAUACUGACGCUCAUGCACGAAAGCGUGGGUAGCAAACAGGAUUAGAUACCCUGGUAGUCCACGCCCUAAACGAUGUCAACUAGGUGUUGGGUGGGUAAAACCAUUUAGUACCGGAGCUAACGCG
RNAcentral lists this ribosomal RNA (513 nucleotides) under uncultured bacterium. Its description in RNAcentral is "bacterial SSU rRNA". It matches the Rfam family "Bacterial small subunit ribosomal RNA", at positions 355 to 859 of the family's 1533-position model. The record is from RNAcentral.